Pocillopora damicornis (cauliflower coral) is the source of this 1004-nucleotide long non-coding RNA. The record is from RefSeq and is a predicted model, not a curated record. NCBI's taxonomy places the organism in Eukaryota, Metazoa, Cnidaria, Anthozoa, Scleractinia, Pocilloporidae.
UCAAUAAUGUUUUUGUAGAAGAUCAAAUCACCUGACAACGCAAAAUACUUACUCAUGCGUACGGUUCACAAUUAUUUGCGGUCAGUUUUCCUCAGUUUGUAUGAUUCUCAUUAACCAGUAUGAUUAAAUUUGCAGACUAAAACACCCCUUAUUUGAUUAAGAAUAAUAAAAGUAAACAGUGCAUGUCGGUUUUUAAUUCCUGAUGGAUGCUACUGGGCUUUACUUUAACUGAGAAAUUUGCAGUCGCUUACCUCAGCUCUCUGUGUCUCAUGCCGUAAGAAGCACAAGAAAAAAGUUGAUGAUAGUGAGUCUUGGCUGAGACAAGAAGAAUCAGAGAAGAAUCUACGGUCCCCAGAAACGCCACUUUUAAACACGAGACAACUAAGUAACAGUUUCCAGGAUCCAAGGGAAGCAAAAGAGAGAACAAUUUUCUGUGUAGCUAGGUAAGGCGACAUGCCGGCUUUAUACUUCUUCCGGCGUGAUAACGAUAAUGAUGACAACAAUGAGCAAAAAGCACCGUCCGCUAAUGAUGACGAUUAUCAAAGUUAUUAACAAAUCUCAGUUAUAGUCCUGAAAAAAUCUCAGGGGGUCCUUUGAACAAUCCACUUAAUCUCGCCAGAAGUCAAAGCUGCCUACACUCAUUCUAAGGUUCGUGCAAUUUUACGACGAAUUUUCAAUUCCGGUGUGUUGCAUGCGCGACUUUUGAUAGAAAAAAACCUGCACGCACCAUAACUUAAAAGAACGUUUCAGCGGAAUGAAUCAAAUCUCUAUCACUUUGCAUACAUUCUUGGGAACAGAAAAAAAUUACUUAGAGCAAACAUUCUAAGUAUAGUGUUCAUUCCGUGCAAUGGGGCAUAAAUAAAAGGUUCUGGUGGAAAAGACACCUUAUUUUAUACCACUGAUGACAAGCAAAAAGGUUAUAUGGGUACCCGGUUAAAAAUAUAUUGAUAACUCUAUUAAUUAAUACCAGUUCUAAUUUAAAGGAGAAAGUUAUGAGAAUAAAA